RNAcentral lists this ribosomal RNA (340 nucleotides) under uncultured bacterium. Its description in RNAcentral is "bacterial SSU rRNA". It matches the Rfam family "Bacterial small subunit ribosomal RNA", at positions 180 to 507 of the family's 1533-position model. The record is from RNAcentral.
GCCCAGACAUAAGUCUGGUCACUAAAGGUAGCUUCGGCUUCCGCAUUGGGAGGGGCCCGCGGCCCAUUAGCUUGUUGGUGGGGUCAAGGCCUACCAAGGCAACGAUGGGUAGCUGGUCUGAGAGGACGAUCAGCCACACUGGGACUGAGACACGGCCCAGACUCCUACGGGAGGCAGCAGUGGGGAAUCUUGCGCAAUGCGCGAAAGCGUGACGCAGCAACACCGCGUGAGGGAAGACGGCCUUAGGGUUGUAAACCUCUUUCAGAUGGGACGAAGGUUGUCCGGUUAAUAGCCGAGAUGAUUGACGGUACCGUCAGAAGAAGCUCCGGCUAACUACGUG